This is a long non-coding RNA of Nymphalis io (European peacock), 272 nucleotides long. RefSeq lists it as uncharacterized. NCBI's taxonomy places the organism in Eukaryota, Metazoa, Arthropoda, Insecta, Lepidoptera, Nymphalidae. The transcript has 2 exons. The record is from RefSeq and is a predicted model, not a curated record.
UUUUUUUUAAAUUAUUACAGAGAGUGAUUUGGUGUACCCUGUUUCUUCUAUCUCUCUUGGCAAUGGUCGCGACCAGACCUCAAGAAUCAGAGUACGAUGAUGGAGACGAAAUAGCUGAUGACAGAAAAGAUGAGGUAGGCCGCGUACAAAUUAAGGUUUACCGAGGACCAACAAAGCACGAUGGAUACGCUCCAUGGGGCUUUUGGGUGAAACAGCCAUCUGACGAGGAAUAGAGAAUAUGCUAUAUUUUUCUGGUAGGCGCUAUCGCGCUA